UAAUCGCGAAUCAGCAUGUCGCCGGUGAAUACGUUCCCGGGCCUUGUACACACCGCCCGUCACACCAUGAGAGUUGGCAAUACCCAACGUACGUGAUCUAACCCGCAAGGGAGGAAGCGUCCUAAGGUAGGGUCAGCGAUUGGGGUGAAGUCGUAACAAGGUAGC
RNAcentral lists this ribosomal RNA (165 nucleotides) under uncultured bacterium. RNAcentral describes it as "partial 16S ribosomal RNA". It matches the Rfam family "Bacterial small subunit ribosomal RNA", at positions 1339 to 1500 of the family's 1533-position model. The record is from RNAcentral.